This is a non-coding RNA of Rattus norvegicus (Norway rat), 57 nucleotides long. The record is from Rfam. Lineage: Eukaryota; Metazoa; Chordata; Mammalia; Rodentia; Muridae.
UAGCUCAGUGGUAGAGCACUUGCCUAGCAAGCGCAAGGCCCUGGGUUCGGUUCCCAG